CCUGUUGUUGUUGUUGUUGUUGUUGCCGGCGUCGUCGUCCGCGAGGAGAGGGGAAGACUUCCGGUCGGCCCGAACGCAGCGGCGACCCCUGGCGGGCGGUGGAGGAAACGCGCCCUGAGCCAUCAGCAUCUCAACUUGGAGCACCUUUGAACCCUCCCCUGUGCAAGCAGACCAGGAAGACAUGCUGCUGCUGGGAACUUUACAUUGGUACAUUACAGUAUCAGGAGGAAUAUUAUGGCUUAACUUUGCAUCAGUUUAACCCCACUACCAGAGCAACCUCAACCGUGUGUAGUGAAAGGUGUAAUCAGAGAUGUGUCAUGGGAGGAGUACAACCUAGUCAGCAAAACAGUGUAAUUUUACCCCGGGCAGAAGAGGUGGUGUAUAUGUUAACUGUUAUGUACUGAAGUUCUCACCCUGGGCCAGCAGGGGGAUACUGUAGAUAGUUCAGGUCCACAUAUGCAAAUAAGGGAUCGAAAGUGACGUUCAGUGAUUGGAUAGUUACAGAAAAUGGUUACUGUUGCGUUCUAGUGGAGCUCUAUAUAAGCAGGCUGGCUGAACCCUUCAGUUCUGUUCUGUUCUGGCCUGUGAAUAAACAAGAGCUGUUUGAAGAA
Molecule: long non-coding RNA, 611 nt
Organism: Podarcis raffonei (Aeolian wall lizard)
Lineage: Eukaryota; Metazoa; Chordata; Lepidosauria; Squamata; Lacertidae
Exons: 2
Source: RefSeq, a predicted model, not a curated record